AUAAUUGAUUUUAAAAAAAUAAUAUUGUUGCAACAGGUUAAAAUAUUUAGGGAAAAAAACAGUUGUGCAAUAUUUAAGAAGUAUUUAUAGAAUCCCAGCAACACUAAUCAAUUAACGAACAUCCCAACAAAUUAUACAUAAUUAUAAGUAAUAUAUUAUGCUCCAAUCUUUCUCAAUUUCUCUUCCUCUUCUUCCUCCUUCAAAUUCAAACCCCUUCACUCAAAACUGAAUAGACCAAUUGCACCAUUAUAAUUGAAUACACUAUUAGAGCCGGAGAUUAUUGUGAGCACCUAAUUUUUGACCAUUCUUAAAUUUUUUUAAUCUCCCUCACGUCAUUUAGCACAUACCUUACCACCAACACAAUUAUUCCCUCACAUACUUUACACUAAUCAUACACUCAUUUUCCACCUACAAAAUUAUUCCCUACCCCAUUCUCCUUUAUUCCUCACCCCACUUUCCCUUGUCCCCCUCACAUGUUCCCCACUCCCCCUUCCCUCAUUCUCUCUGCUUAAAACACACACACAGACGGAAAAGAAAAAAAGGAAGGAGGGCACAAAAAAAAACGGAACUCACUCCCUUUUUCCUCUAGGAGCAAGCCUUAAAAACUAACAAUCAAAUUUCACCGAAAAAUCAGCAAAAAUCAGCCUCAAAACAGUGCAAAUCCUAGCCAAAAAAUCAGUUCAAAAGCCGCCAUAAAUCACCAUAAAUCAUCCUCAAAAGCUUCAGCAAAAUAGUCUCCAAUCAACAUCACAAAUCACUCAAUUUUUUGGUUUCUUUAUUGCGGAGUUUCAAGGUUCCGGCUACAGUCCGAAUUUUAUUUUUGUUGUAUAAUCAUGCAUCAAUAGCAGUGCCAUUACUUGAAGAACCCUUUCAUCUAUAAAAGGUCCAAUCUUUUUAUCUUGUUUGCUUUGUCUAUUUAUUGUUCCAUUUAGAUGAUAUGUGCUAAUAUGCCUAUUUGCUUGGAUCUGUUAUUCUUUUUUUUUGAGCACAUGAUUUUUCUUAGUUGUUAGUUCUUGUCGUUAAGUUUAUUAGCGUGUGAUGUUGAGUUAGAAUCUAAAAGGAAAAUUUCAAAAAAAAAAAAAAAUAGAACUUAAAAAUAAUGAGGGAAACGUAAUGGUAACAAUAAUGUAUUUGGAUCCUAAGGUUUGGUUUUUGUAAAAGUUAUUUUCUUUAUCAAAAUAAACUAAUCAAUUUUAGUAAUUUCCUAGCGUUAGUUUUAUCAUUUGGUCGAAUUAGUUUCUAAUAUUGUUUUAACUGACUUAUGAUAAUUUUAUUAAUCCUUCAAAUAAUCCUCUCUUGACUUGUGGUAAAUACUAAAUAAAAUACUUUCAUAACUCUUGAGCAUCACAAUAAUCCUAACUUAGGAAAUAGUAAUUUAAAAUGCUUAGGCAAUUUUAGGCGCGUCUUCAAAAGUUGACCAUGAGCUCUUACGAUCCUUGGUUAAUAUCAAUUAAUAAAAAUGGUCAUGUGUGCAUUCCCGCUCCUUGACUCUCUAACUAACAAAUUGCGUUUAGCCAUGUGUUCAUACCCGUGCCUUGGUUUAAACGCACAUGAUAAAAGGACCUUGUGUGCUUACACGUUUCUAGGCCGAAAUCAAUAAAAUUUGAUUAAUUAUUAAGCGGUACUAGACAAUAGUAAUUUAAGGCAAAUAAAUCACAGUUUAUCUAGAAUUAAUUCAAGUUAAGUUUAAGUCAAUAAAGCGACCGUGCUAGAACCACGGGACUCGGGAAAUGCCUUACACCUUCUCCCUGAUCAAAAGAAUUCCUUAUCCGAACAUUGAUUUCGCAGACCAACAUGAAAAGAGUUAAAUUUUUCUUUGAAUAUGGAUUCAAAUAAAAAGGUGACUUGGAACACCGGUAAAAAUCAAUUUCAAGUGGCGACUCUGUAAAAUAAAAUAAAUCCCUAUUUCAAAUUUGUCACUUCAAAUGGAAAAAACUCGUUAACCCACAAUCCUUAAUAACACAUUAUCUUUUGGAGGAUAGAAAAGGGGUGUGACAAUUAUAAAAUUAGCAGCGAGUUAAAUGACCAAAGGCAUACUAAGGCUGAAAUAAAUUUCUCUCUGCCUUCUCUCUACUUUAAGAGAGAGAAGCCUGUACUUCACUCCAACAAACAACAAUCACAUAAAAGUUUUCGAACGAUGGGCUCAAGUGAUAAUGACCAUAUGUUUCAUCAAGAAGAAGAUUUACUUAAAAGGAGCAAAAACAAUUAUCGAGAGCCAACCGAAAAUAAAGUAAGCUUUCGAGACAAAAUUCUAAUCCUAAAUGAGGUAGUUUGAUUCGGACGAAGUUUAAGAAAAAAAAGAAGACUUUUGAAAUUUGUGGUCUUAAAAGCUUAAGGGGUAAAAAGUUUGUGGGGCCAUGAUAUUUGCAUGACUAUAAAAGCUUCUCAUUAAGUGAAAAUGAGUAAAAUGAAAGAAUUUAAAGUUGAAUUAUUUCCAAAUUUAAAAAUGUGUCAUUUAUUUUGGAACAGACUAAAAAGGAAAGUACCUCAUUUAAUAUGGAACAGAGGGAUUCACCUAGAGGGAUUCAACAUUUUUUCCGUAAUACAGGGUGCCUACCCCUGGUUACAUUCUUUUUCCGUCAUAUAGUGUACCAAACCCUAGUUACAUUUCCUUACCAAGUAUAGGGUACACCAAUCCCUAGUUGUAUUCUCCAACAUAGGGUCUCCAUUCCCUAGCUGAUUUUAUUUCAGAUAUAGGGUCACCACUCUCUAGUCUCCUUACUAGUAUAAGGUACACCAAUCCAUGGCUGUGUUUUCCAACGUAGGGUACACCAAUCCCUAGUUGAUCUGAUCUUAAGUGCAGGGUGUACCAGUCCUUGGUAUCUUUGAUAUUAAGGGGUACACCAUUCUCUAGCCAUGUUUUUCCAACAUAAGGUACACCAAUCCUUAGUUGAGACACCAUUUAGAUAAUUAGGAUACACCAUUCCCGAAGAAUUAUGUUUUCCUAGGGUACACCAAUCCCGACUCUUUAUUGCUUUUAAUAAAGUAGUUUAUAAUUUUAUUAGAAUAACUCACGAAAUUUUUCUAGUGAAAACUGAGGCAGAAAAAUUUCGUUCGUUUGUUUGUUUUGGUGUCUGAGCAGGUCUUACCUCAAGGUACAAGGUUCAAGAUGACCAAGAGAAGUAUCAAAAUGGAGAAACAGAUGAAAUAAUGUGGAUUGUUCAAGAUAUGACUGAAGUCACGAGCAUUACAUUUUUCCGUUUUGAUCAGAAGAAGUCGUAGAAGAAUGAACUAGCACCUAUAGCUAGCAAGCAUCAUGGUUCAGAUCAGAGUCUACGUGGAGAACCAGUCAGGACUCGAGGACAAGUUUCAGAAGACUCAUAGAUAGGAAUCUUGUAACUCAUAGCUGAUAGGCUUGUUUAGUUUCUUUUUGAUUUUUGAUGUAAUAAUAGACUUACGGACCGAAGCAUCGACAGAACCUCACUUGACUUAUCAACUUAUC
This 3442-nucleotide long non-coding RNA is filed under the name Nicotiana tabacum (common tobacco). Its description in RNAcentral is "long non-coding RNA (NTAB_LNC008790)". The record is from RNAcentral. Lineage: Eukaryota; Viridiplantae; Streptophyta; Magnoliopsida; Solanales; Solanaceae.